UUAGCAUUGAAACAUGACAGAAAAAGGUCCAGCUGUUCUAAAGGUUAUUCAAGUAACAUAAAGACAUUCAGAAGAUUUUACAUUCAAGACCUGUCAUACUUACAGGAACUCGGGGACAAUAGUUGGGAAGCUCAGCAUAAAGUAACACCAAUGGCCUAACAUUCUGGGUCAGGAUUGUGCUAAAAAAAAUAGGUACAAUGUAUCAUACAGGUUGGACUGUCCCUGGCUAAGUGUUGGAAAAAUGACCUCAAGCAACAGCGCCACCAGGAUUUAUCAUCACUUGACUAAGAUCUAAUAAAAUUUCAA
Molecule: non-coding RNA, 306 nt
Organism: Meleagris gallopavo (turkey)
Lineage: Eukaryota; Metazoa; Chordata; Aves; Galliformes; Phasianidae
Source: RefSeq, a predicted model, not a curated record